This 254-nucleotide ribosomal RNA is filed under the name uncultured bacterium. Its description in RNAcentral is "partial 16S ribosomal RNA". It matches the Rfam family "Bacterial small subunit ribosomal RNA", at positions 524 to 777 of the family's 1533-position model. The record is from RNAcentral.
UACGUAGGUGGCAAGCGUUGUCCGGAUUUACUGGGCGUAAAGAGCGCGCAGGCGGCCAAGUCAGUCGAAUGUGAAAGCCCCCGGCUCAACUGGGGAGGGUCAUUCGAUACUGCUCGGCUCGAAGACAGGAGAGGGAAGUGGAAUUCCCGGUGUAGUGGUGAAAUGCGUAGAUAUCGGGAGGAACACCAGUGGCGAAGGCGACUUUCUGGCCUGUUCUUGACGCUGAGGCGCGAAAGCUAGGGGAGCAAACGGGG